UCAAAAUAUCUGACCACGCCCUCGAUAUUUCUGAAACUUUUGUACCUUGCAAACCGAGCAAAUCAUCUUCGUCCACAAAUUAUAUCUGAGUCCUGAAAAAACUCGCAAAUAAACUAAUCAUUAGGGAAAAAUCAACCUCCGACACUGCAAGACAUUGCAAAAACCGCCUAAGAAGUUGUUUCCCAUCCGACAAAACGAAACCCUCGUCACAAAAAAUAAUAUACGCACUAACAUCUCCGCAAACACAUAUUCUUCGCGAAGACCCAAACGGUAAUAUCUACCACCAAGUUCGUUGCUGAUCACAUCGAACUCUUAAACGUCCUAAACAGACACAGCCAUCUCACGAAGAUGACCCUCGUACAUCCGACACAAGGAUAAUAACGCUAUGAAAGAAAUCUGAAAUUCUGGUCAAGCACUUCUAGUUGGCUUAAAAAUUGUCUCUGGAGAGAUGCUCGAUUCGUACCAGACAAGUCGUAUAAGCCGAAAACCUAUCGCGGAAUUUAAAUCGGUACGAAUCAGGUUAAAAUCGCAACAGGAAAAUCAAUAGCCGGCUAGUCACCGCAUAAAUCUUAAAACCGAAAGUAAACCUAGGUCUUGCCCUUAACCCAGCGCACUGGCCUCUAACAUCUCAAGGCAUGAGAUCGAAAAGAAGAUACGAGAUCCUAAAACAUGCCUCUAUGCUUACAUUCAGCGUCUUCAGAUAUCCCGCGAAAUUAGGAUUUCGCAGAAAGCUCUCGAAACAGAUCGCGAAUAAAGCAUUUCACAUCGAAGAGAGAUAUGAGCAACAACUCAUAACAUUCCUUCCAUACUCCUACUCACGUAAACGCAAACUGAUUAUCCAUUCAUUGAAAAACAAAAGCCGCAAAGCGGCAGGGAUUCAAAGCCUCAAACGGCCAGUCCCGAAACAUAAAAUAUGGCCAUACAAGGCCAGAACAAGCCCAUAAACACAAAAAAAAAAAUCUCUCAAGCGAGGUCGUAACCGUGACCAUCUUCUGGAAUCUAAACCUCCUCCACACCCAUUGCCUCGUCCAAACUUGGGGCCGCGUCACCUCCGUUCUCCCUGACCAUGAGAUCUUUCCCCUCUGGGUCUUCUGAACACGUCGGAAGGAAACACGCAGACUUCAGGUCGGCCAAGACAAGGUCGAAAUCCCCGUCCACGGCCGCCAAGUCUCCC
Molecule: long non-coding RNA, 1174 nt
Filed under: Brassica napus (rape)
Lineage: Eukaryota; Viridiplantae; Streptophyta; Magnoliopsida; Brassicales; Brassicaceae
Description: long non-coding RNA (BNAP_LNC014920)
Source: RNAcentral